AGUGAACGCUGGCGGUAGGCCUAACACAUGCAAGUCGAACGGCAGCACAGUAAGAGCUUGCUCUUACGGGUGGCGAGUGGCGGACGGGUGAGGAAUACAUCGGAAUCUACUUUUUCGUGGGGGAUCACGUAGGGAAACUUACGAUAAUAUCGCAUACGACCUACGGUUGAAAGCAGGGGAUCUUUGGACCUUGCGCGAUUGAAUGAGCCGAUGUUGGAUUAGCUAGUUGGCGGGGUAAAGGCCCACCCAGGCGACGAUCCGUAGCUGGUAUGAGAGGAUGAUCAGCCACACUGGAACUGAGACACGGUACAGACGCCUACGGGAGGCAGCAGUGGGGAAUAUUGGACAAUGGGCGCAAGCCUGAUCCAGCCAUACCGCGUGGGUGAAGAAGGCCUUCGGGUUGUAAAGCCCUUUUGUUGGGAAAGAAAAGCAGCAGGUUAAUACCCCGCUGUUCUGACGGUACCCAAAGAAUAAGCACCGGCUAACUUCGUG
Molecule: ribosomal RNA, 492 nt
Filed under: uncultured bacterium
Lineage: Bacteria
Description: partial 16S ribosomal RNA
Rfam family: Bacterial small subunit ribosomal RNA
Source: RNAcentral